UCCUGGGGUCGAGUCCCCCCGGGGAGCCUGCUUCUUCCUCUGCCUGUGUCUCUGCCUCUCUCUCUGUGUCUCUCAUGAAUAAAUAAAUCAAUAAAAUCUUAAAAAAAAAAAAAUCUGUUUCUGCAUUGACCCUGCCCUGGGCUUACCAGGCCACACUCCCAGCUCUGAUGUAGGUGAGGACCCCUUCUGCCUGGGGAAUUCAGAGGCCAUUGGCCAACCAAUGAGCCCUGAAUCCCAUCUGUAGCCUCAACUAUGCUCCACUUGUUUGCUUGCUUUUAAAAUGUGAAGGUUUAUUAUUAUUGUGAUUAACCCUUUACCAGAUAAGGGCAACAUUUGUAUGAACUUUUUUACAUUUUAGAAAAGGUUUCCAUGAAUUUUCUCCUUUGACCCAGGAGGUGAAUGAAAUUAGCAGACUGUGGCGUCCACGGUGCUCACCAACUCCAGUGGUGAGGGAGGCCUGCCCGGUCAGCGCUGCUCUGUUCUGACCUCCCUCCGAGCUAUUCCCACAAGCAGGUGGCUUUGGCAGCACCCAGAGGGCACACCAGAUGAGAUUUUAUUUAUUUAUUCACGAGAGAGACAGAGAGAGAGGCAGAGACACAGGCAGAGGGAGAAGCAGGCUCCUCCCAGGGAGCCUAAUGCAAGACUCCAUCCUGGGACCCCGGGAUCAUGCCCUGAGCCACCCAGCUGUCUCAAAGGAUGCCUAGUUUCUAAAGAAAGGGAUUUAACAGGUUCCUGAUGGGAUUUUCAAUAAAAAUGAAAAAAAUGCAAGAACCCCUGAAAAUUUCAGGAUCAGCUAUCCAGAAAACUUGCUUAUACAGAAUUUGUAGCUGGAAAAAUUCAAAGAGCCUUUCACCAUACUUUGGUUAUUUUUAUCAUUUUAUAUAUAUAUAAAUCACUUUAUAUAUAUAUAAAGUGAUAUAAAUAUAAAUAUAUACAUAUGUAUAUAUUCUGUAUAUAUAUAUAUUAGCAAACAAAGUCAGUGCUAACAACCAUUUUAAAAAAACAUUUAAAAGUGUUUUUUUUCUUUUUUCGUCAGGAGGAUUUUUAUACUCUUUACCAAAUAGCUUCCUCGAAAUGGGGGUUUAUUUUGUUUUUUUGUUUGUUUGUUUUUUGGUCUUUGGAAAUGUUUCUCAGUCAGGAUGCUAUCUGGUGGGGAAAAUCCUGAGUAUAAAUUCCUGUACUGUCACAGUUUUUAAGCUAGAGCAAAACACCUGGCUGUUUCCUAUCUCCAUUUUCUCAUCUAUGAAAUAAGACUUACUGUGUUUCAAAGUUUUUAUGUGCGGAAAGCCUCUGUCCAGUAUCUGAGAGAGAAUCUCAGAAUAUAUAUUUUAAAAAUUUUGCCUUAAAAAAAUAAAAAAUAAAUAAAAUUGCCUUUUGAUCAGA
Molecule: long non-coding RNA, 1383 nt
Organism: Canis lupus familiaris (dog)
Lineage: Eukaryota; Metazoa; Chordata; Mammalia; Carnivora; Canidae
Exons: 2
Source: RefSeq, a predicted model, not a curated record